UGGGGAAUAUUGCACAAUGGGCGAAAGCCUGAUGCAGCAACGCCGCGUGAGGGAUGACGGCCUUCGGGUUGUAAACCUCUUUCAGCGGGGACGAAGCGCAAGUGACGGUACCCGCAGAAGAAGCGCCGGCCAACUACGUGCCAGCAGCCGCGGUAACACGUAGGGCGCGAGCGUUGUCCGGAAUUAUUGGGCGUAAAGGGCUCGUAGGCGGUUUGUUGCGUCGAAAGUGAAAAUCCGGGGCUUAACUCCGGACUUGCUUUCGAUACGGGCAGACUAGAGGUAGGCAGGGGAGAGUGGAAUUCCUGGUGUAGCGGUGGAAUGCGCAGAUAUCAGGAGGAACACCGGUGGCGAAGGCGGCUCUCUGGGCCUUACCUGACGCUGAGGAGCGAAAGCGUGGGGAGCGAACAG
This 408-nucleotide ribosomal RNA is filed under the name uncultured bacterium. RNAcentral describes it as "bacterial SSU rRNA". It matches the Rfam family "Bacterial small subunit ribosomal RNA", at positions 355 to 775 of the family's 1533-position model. The record is from RNAcentral.